AAAAUGGUUGGCUAGGGUUCCGAUUCACUGAAAAGUGAACGCCUGGACCGAGAGCUGACGACCUCUAGUUGAGGUUACACGGCGGGAUAAAAGCCCGGGAGAC
RNAcentral lists this small RNA (103 nucleotides) under Pseudomonas agarici. RNAcentral's name for it is "Guanidine-I sequence". It matches the Rfam family "Guanidine-I riboswitch aptamer". From Rfam's summary of the family: This family represents a conserved RNA structure found upstream of the ykkC and yxkD genes in Bacillus subtilis and related genes in other bacteria. Lineage: Bacteria; Pseudomonadati; Pseudomonadota; Gammaproteobacteria; Pseudomonadales; Pseudomonadaceae. The record is from Rfam by way of RNAcentral.